This 98-nucleotide transfer RNA is filed under the name Solanum tuberosum (potato). It matches the Rfam family "tRNA". Rfam says of the family: Transfer RNA (tRNA) molecules are approximately 80 nucleotides in length. Their secondary structure includes four short double-helical elements and three loops (D, anti-codon, and T loops). Lineage: Eukaryota; Viridiplantae; Streptophyta; Magnoliopsida; Solanales; Solanaceae. The record is from Rfam by way of RNAcentral.
CCGACCUUAGCUCAGUUGGUAGAGCGGAGGACUGUAGUCGGGUCAAAUAAAACCCACAGUUAAUCCUUAGGUCACUGGUUCGAAUCCGGUAGGUCGGA